UACGUAGGAUGCAAGCGUUGUCCGGAGUCAUUGGGCGUAAAGCGCGUGUCGGCGGCCUACUAAGUCUGAUGUGAAAGUCCGGGGCUCAACCCCGGAAGUGCAUUGGAUACUGGUUGGCUAGAGGGCGAGAGAGGGAAGUGGAAUUCCUGGUGUAGGGGUGAAAUCCGUAGAUAUCAGGAGGAACAUCGGUGGCGAAGGCGGCUUCCUGGCUCGUUUCUGUCGCGCAGACGCGAAAGCGUGGCUAGCAAACAGG
Molecule: ribosomal RNA, 253 nt
Filed under: uncultured bacterium
Lineage: Bacteria
Description: partial 16S ribosomal RNA
Rfam family: Bacterial small subunit ribosomal RNA
Source: RNAcentral